Molecule: long non-coding RNA, 5259 nt
Organism: Oncorhynchus tshawytscha (Chinook salmon)
Lineage: Eukaryota; Metazoa; Chordata; Actinopteri; Salmoniformes; Salmonidae
Source: Ensembl
ACAGCUGUGUCAGCCCGUUGGUUCCUUCAGGAUCCCCAGUCAGGACUAUACAGCUGUGUCUGAUCCCGUUGGUUCCUUUUAAGGAUCCCCAGUCAGGACUACACAGCUGUGUGAUCCUGUUGGUUCCUUCAGGAUCCCCAGUCAGGACUAUACAGCUGUCUGAUCCCGUUGGUUCCUUCAGGAUCCCCAGUCAGGACUACACAGCUUUUUAUUUCUGCCGUCUUUUAUAUUAUUAUAUAGCAACGAUUUAAUAAUCAGAAAAACGCUGGACGAAUCUUCAUAGAAAUGUCUUUAAUAUAUGAUUUACUCCUUUUGUUUUUAGAUUUUUUAUUAAAUCAUUUGAGGUUUGUUUUGUUCACCUGUAAGCUUCAAAUUGACUGCACUGUACUCUCAUUACCCUGGCUGACUUGUGAAUCCACAAAUUGCACCCUAUUCCCUAAUGUAGUGCACUACUAUUAACCAGAGGCCUUACUAACCAGUAGUAGUGCACUAUAAAAGGAAUAGCUUAAGGGACCAUUUGGGAGCCUGCUGGUGUGCUGCAUAACUAGAUGAUGUUCUCUCUGUGGUAGUAAUGCUAACGAUGAUAGGUUAGGGAUCAGUGGUAGUAAUGCUAUAAUGCUAAUGAUAGGCUAGGGAUCAGUGGUAGUAAUGCUAUAAUGCUAAUGAUAGGCUAGGGAUCAGUGGUAGUAAUGCUAUAAUGCUAAUGAUAGGCUAGGGAUCAGUGGUAGUAAUGCUAUAAUGCUAAUGGUGAUAGGCUAGGGAUCAGUGGUAGUAAUGCUAUAAUGCCAAUGGUGAUAGGCUAGGGAUCAGUACUAGUAAUGCUAAUGAUGAUAGGCUAGGGAACAGUGGUAGUAAUGCUAAUGAUUAUAGGCUAGGGAUCAGUGGUAGUAAUGCUAAUGAUGAUAGGCUGGGGAACAGUGGUAGUAAUGCUAAUGAUGAUAGGCUAGGGAACAGUGGUAGUAAUGCUAAUGAUGAUAGGCUAGGGAACAGUGGUAGUAAUGCUAAUGGUGAUAGGCUAGGGAACAGUGGUAGUAAUGCUAAUGGUGAUAGGCUAGGGAACAGUGGUAGUAAUGCUAAUGAUAGGCAAGGGAAAAGUCGUAGUAAUGCUAUAAUGCUAAUGAUGAUAGGCUAGUGUUGCAAAAUUCCUGAAACGUUCCCUACAUUUCCAAGGUUUUUUAUUAAUCAUGUUUCAAGGAAUUUCUGAUAUCAGGAAGGAUUAACUAGGGAAGGCAUCCUCCUACUGAGAUUUAUGAGGAAUUUCAGAGUUCUGAAAAGCUUGUAGCUCAAUAACCAGUAUCUGAGCUGUGAAGCACUUUCUGUUGUGUUGCUAGAUUGACCAGGUUGUUGUCAUGGGGAUGGAUGGUGGCAGAACGUGUUGUUGCCACUACUCGUGAUGCUAGCAUGGUCUAGUCCUGAGUCCUGAGUCCCAGCUCUGUUUGUGCUGUCUUGCCAACUCUAUGUGAUUUAUAGGAGUCGCUAAGACAGCACAAACGGAUGUGGGACCAGGCUAAGCAUGGUUCACCUUGGUGUCAAGGGUCAACUAAUCAAGUCAAGUAAUGGCACAUACAUAACCACUGUCUGGAGAGACCUGCAGAGACCUACAGCUAGACUCCCUAACACAGUGUCUGUUCAGACUGAUUCAUUAGAGCUAGACUCACUAACACAGUGUCUGUUCAGACUAAUGCUUUGAGUACUGAGUAGUGACUUGUUUCAGUGCCUAAUGCCUUGAGUACUGAGUAAUGACUUGUUUCAGUGCCUAAUGCCUUGAGUACUGAGUAGUGACUUGUUUCAGUGCCUAAUGCCUUGAGUACUGAGUAUUGACUUGUUUCAGUGCCUUUAUUGUAGAAUGACUUGUUGGUUGGUCUGUAGAUAGUUUUCAGAUGCCACCUCCCCUUCUCUUGAAGCCCAGCUCACCUAUCUCUGAGUUGGUGGACAGGACAGGUUCCUACCCUUAAAAAUGUACGUGUGAUCAGGGUGGUUGGCAGGUAGCCAAGGAGCGCUACAGUUCACUCCAAGCAACUCGUAUCAAGCAGAUCACACAAUUUACCACGGCCAACAGCAGGCCUGGUCUACAGGGUAAUAGUAGUGUGGGUAGGAGCCACUGUCUGGAGUCAGAUCAGAUUAACUUCAUUAAUAACCCACUGUCUGGAGUCAGACCAGAUUAACAUCAUUAAUAACCCACUGUCUGGAGUCAGACCAGAUUAACAUCAUCAAUAACCCACUGUCUGGAGUUCAUUAAUAACCCACUGUCUGGAGUCAAACCAGAUUAACAUCAUCAAUAACCCACUGUCUGGAGUUCAUUAAUAACCCACUGUCUGGAGUCAGACCAGAUUAACUUCAUUAAUAACCCACUGUCUGGAGUCAAACCAGAUUAACUUAAUUAAUAACCCACUGUCUGGAGUUCAUUAAUAACCCACUGUCUGGAGUCAAACCAGAUUAACAUCAUUAAUAACCCACUGUCUGGAGUCAGACCAGAUUAACUUCAUUAAUAACCCACUGUUUGGAGUUCAUUAAUAACCCACUGUCUGGAGUCAAACCAGAUUAACUUCAUUAAUAACCCACUGUCUGGAGUCAGACCAGAUUAACUUCAUUAAUAACCCACUGUCUGGAGUCAAACCAGAUUAACUUAAUUAAUAACCCACUGUCUGGAGUUCAUGAAUACCCACUGUCUGGAGUCAAACCAGAUUAACAUCAUUAAUAACCCACUGUCUGGAGUCAAACCAGAUUAACAUCAUUAAUAACCCACUGUCUGGAGUCAGACCAGAUUAACAUCAUUAAUAACCCACUGUCUGGAGUCAGACCAGAUUAACUUCAUUAAUAACCCACUGUCUGGAGUCAGACCAGAUUUACUUCAUUAAUAACCCACUGUCUGGAGUUAGACCAGAUUAACAUCAUUAAUAACCCACUGUCUGGAGUUAGACCAGAUUAACAUCAUUAAUAACCCACUGUCUGGAGUCAGACCAGAUUAACAUCAUUCAUAACCCACUGUCUGGAGUCAGACCAGAUUUACUUCAUUAAUAACCCACUGUCUGGAGUUAGACCAGAUUAACAUCAUUAAUAACCCACUGUCUGGAGUCAGACCAGAUUAACAUCAUUCAUAACCCACUGUCUGGAGUCAGACCAGAUUAACAUAAUUCAUAACCCACUGUCUGGAGUCAGACCAGAUUAACAUAAUUCAUAACCCACUGUCUGGAGUUAGACCAGAUUAACAUCAUUCAUAACCCACUGUCUGGAGUUAGACGAGAUUAACAUCAUUCAUAACCCACUGUCUGGAGUUAGACGAGAUUAACAUCAUUCAUAACCCACUGUCUGGAGUUAGACGAGAUUAACAUCAUUAAUAACCCACUGUCUGGAGUCAAACCAGAUUAACAUCAUUAAUAACCCACUGUCUGGAGUUAGACCAGAUUAACAUCAUUCAUAACCCACUGUCUGGAGUUAGACGAGAUUAACAUCAUUCAUAACCCACUGUCUGGAGUCAGACCAGAUUAACUUCAUUAAUAACCCACUGUCUGGAGUUAGACGAGAUUAACAUCAUUAAUAACCCACUGUCUGGAGUCAGACCAGAUUAACAUCAUUCAUAACCCACUGUCUGGAGUCAGACCAGAUUAACAUAAUUCAUAACCCACUGUCUGGAGUCAGACCAGAUUAACAUAAUUCAUAACCCACUGUCUGGAGUUAGACCAGAUUAACAUCAUUCAUAACCCACUGUCUGGAGUCAGACCAGAUUAACAUCAUUCAUAACCCACUGUCUGGAGUCAGACCAGAUUAACAUCAUUCAUAACCCACUGUCUGGAGUUAGACCAGAUUAACAUCAUUCAUAACCCACUGUCUGGAGUCAGACCAGAUUAACAUCAUUCAUAACCCACUGUCUGGAGUUAGACCAGAUUAACAUCAUUCAUAACCCACUGUCUGGAGUCAGACCAGAUUAACAUCAUUCAUAACCCACUGUCUGGAGUCAGACCAGAUUAACAUCAUUCAUAACCCACUGUCUGGAGUCAAACCAGAUUAACAUCAUUCAUAACCCACUGUCUGGAGUUAGACGAGAUUAACAUCAUUCAUAACCCACUGUCUGGAGUCAGACCAGAUUAACAUCAUUCAUAACCCACUGUCUGGAGUCAGACCAGAUUAACAUCAUUCAUAACCCACUGUCUGGAGUCAGACCAGAUUAACUUCCGUGAUAAUGAAUGCUAAAUUAGCAUGCUAUAUUGAUAUGCUAUUAUGGACCACCAUGACUGGUAACAUGAACGACCUGAAUGUUUAUUACCCCUGUCACCACUACCUUUUCUGGGAAUGACUGCAGCCUUGUAUCGUACUGUGAUGACCUGGGAUGUGUUCAUUGGGCACCAAACAGUAGAAAACUGAUUUAAAACAGGGAGGGACUACCUGCACUAGUAGUCCAAUAACAAACACUAAAAUGUAUAUUUUCCUGUUGUAAAACAUUUUUGCUAGAAUUCAGAUGGCACCAUUUGUCACGAUUGUCGUUGGGAGAAGGAGAAGAGGACCAAAGAGCAGCUUGGUAUACUGGAACAAAAACAACAGACCGACAAACGAACAGUUCUGCAAGGUGCAACAAAAACACUAAACAGAAAAUUCAAAACAUAGAAUACCCACCCCAACUCACGCCCUGACCAAACUAAAACAGAGACAUAAAAAAGGAACUAAGGUCAGGGCGUGACACCAUUCUUCCAUAGGGUUUGAAAGAAGUGCACUUUUUUAUUUUUUAUUAGUGCUAGCUUUGGAGUAGGCUAGCUCUGGAGUAGGCUAGCUUUGGAGUAGGCUAGCUUUGGAGUAGGCUAGCUUUGGAGUAGGCUAGCUCUGGAGUAGGCUAGCUCUGGAGUAGGCUAGCUCUGGAGUAGGCUAGCUUUGGAGUAGGCUAGCUUUGGAGUAGGCCAGCUUUGGAGUAGGCUAGCUUUGGAGCAGGCUAGCUUUGGAGCAGGCCAGCUUUGGAGUAGGCCAGCUUUGGAGCAGGCUAGCUUUGGAGCAGGCUAGCUUUGCUCGGUCUAUGUAGUCCCCUUAACUAUUGCUGUUGUGUGGUUUUAAUUAUGUCAAUGAUCUUUCACUUUAUGCCUCGGCACCACUGUUAUUAUGUUUUCAUUCAUGCUGUCUGUGAUAUUUUGUUGUUGUUGUUGUUGUUUCUUAUUUGUUUUGUUUAUAAUUAAACUCUUCUCUCUGUGUCCACUAAUUACAAUGAAUAAAUAAACUUACCUCGGAGUUUAAAGGUCCCAUUCAGUUUGUAUGCAGUAAAGUCAUACCAUAUUU